RNAcentral lists this non-coding RNA (29 nucleotides) under Rattus norvegicus (Norway rat). The record is from RNAcentral. Lineage: Eukaryota; Metazoa; Chordata; Mammalia; Rodentia; Muridae.
UUCAAUGAUAGGGCUAUUGUGUCUUGAAU